CCUACGGGCGGCUGCAGUAGGGAAUUUUGCGCAAUGGGCGAAAGCCUGACGCAGCAACGCCGCGUGAUCGAGACGCCCUUCGGGGUGUAAAGAUCUGUCAGUGGGGGCGAAACUUGACGGUACCCACAGAGGAAGCACCGGCUAACUCCGUGCCAGCAGCCGCGGUAAUACGGGGGGUGCAAGCGUUGUCCGGAAUCAUGGGGCGUAAAGCGUUCGUAGGCGGCACGGAAAGUCGGGUGUUAAAGGCAGAGGCUCAACUUCUGUACGGCACUGGAUACUGGCGGGCGAGAAUGCGGUAGAGGUAAAGGGAAUUCCAGGUGUAGCGGUGAAAUGCUGAGAUAUCAGGAGGAACAUCGGUGGCGUAAGCGCUUUACUGGGCCGUAAUUGACGCUGAGGAACGAAAGCCAGGGUAGCAAAUGGGAUUAGAUACCCGGGUAGUC
This 440-nucleotide ribosomal RNA is filed under the name uncultured bacterium. Its description in RNAcentral is "partial 16S ribosomal RNA". It matches the Rfam family "Bacterial small subunit ribosomal RNA", at positions 338 to 795 of the family's 1533-position model. The record is from RNAcentral.